Molecule: ribosomal RNA, 500 nt
Filed under: uncultured bacterium
Lineage: Bacteria
Description: partial 16S ribosomal RNA
Rfam family: Bacterial small subunit ribosomal RNA
Source: RNAcentral
AUUGAACGCUGGCGGAAUGCUUUACACAUGCAAGUCGAACGGCAGCACGGACUUCGGUCUGGUGGCGAGUGGCGAACGGGUGAGUAACAUAUCGGAACGUAUCCAAUAAUGGGGGAUAACUAAUCGAAAGGUUGGCUAAUACCGCAUACGCCCUACGGGGGAAAGCAGGGGAUCUUCGGACCUUGCGUUAAUGGAGCGGCUGAUAUCUGAUUAGCUAGUUGGUGAGGUAAAGGCUCACCAAGGCGACGAUCAGUAGCUGGUCUGAGAGGACGACCAGCCACACUGGAACUGAGACACGGUCCAGACUCCUACGGGAGGCAGCAGUGGGGAAUUUUGGACAAUGGGUGCAAGCCUGAUCCAGCCAUUCCGCGUGAGUGAAGAAGGCCUUCGGGUUGUAAAGCUCUUUCGCAAGGGAAGAAAACUUACUUUCUAAUAAAGAGUGAGGUUGACGGUACCUUGAUAAGAAGCACCGGCUAACUACGUGCCAGCAGCCGCCGUAA